Nematostella vectensis (starlet sea anemone) is the source of this 259-nucleotide long non-coding RNA. RefSeq lists it as uncharacterized. The transcript is spliced from 3 exons. NCBI's taxonomy places the organism in Eukaryota, Metazoa, Cnidaria, Anthozoa, Actiniaria, Edwardsiidae. The record is from RefSeq and is a predicted model, not a curated record.
GAUAAUUGUAAGCGUAAUUUAGGGGACUUUCUUGGGUAUACUAGACCAUGUAUACCCAAAUCUACAAAUACUAUAUUUACCAAAAAUGUUAGCGGCAGAGUCGCGCAAUGUAAUUCUUGGAAUUACAGAUUUUUCAGAACCAAGCUCUCUCAUCGAGUUUCGGGACAGAAGAAUUGGAUACGCUCGGGAGCCUACACUCCCAGAUGUUGUAUAUAGAUGUAAUAUAACAGGUGAGUAAAGAUUUCACCUGACAUAUAAC